This 204-nucleotide ribosomal RNA is filed under the name uncultured bacterium. RNAcentral describes it as "partial 16S ribosomal RNA". It matches the Rfam family "Bacterial small subunit ribosomal RNA", at positions 15 to 202 of the family's 1533-position model. The record is from RNAcentral.
GAUCCUGGCUCAGGACGAACGCUGGCGGCGUGCCUAACACAUGCAAGUCGAACGAAGCUUGACGAAUGAUUUCUUCGGAAUGAAAUCUGAUAUGACUGAGUGGCGGACGGGUGAGUAACGCGUGAGCAACCUGCCCUGACGGGAGAGUGUCUGAACGGACGAGUAAUACCGUAUAACGUAUUUUACUUACACUNAUAGAAUAAC